RNAcentral lists this ribosomal RNA (253 nucleotides) under uncultured bacterium. RNAcentral's name for it is "partial 16S ribosomal RNA". It matches the Rfam family "Bacterial small subunit ribosomal RNA", at positions 524 to 776 of the family's 1533-position model. The record is from RNAcentral.
UACGUAGGGUGCGAGCGUUAAUCGGAAUUACUGGGCGUAAAGCGUGCGCAGGCGGUUAUGCAAGACAGAUGUGAAAUCCCCGGGCUUAACCUGGGAACUGCAUUUGUGACUGCAUAGCUAGAGUACGGUAGAGGGGGAUGGAAUUCCGCGUGUAGCAGUGAAAUGCGUAGAUAUGCGGAGGAACACCGAUGGCGAAGGCAAUCCCCUGGACCUGUACUGACGCUCAUGCACGAAAGCGUGGGGAGCAAACAGG